RNAcentral lists this long non-coding RNA (266 nucleotides) under Lathyrus oleraceus (garden pea). RNAcentral describes it as "Pisum sativum (pea) long non-coding RNA (PSAT_LNC042192)". Lineage: Eukaryota; Viridiplantae; Streptophyta; Magnoliopsida; Fabales; Fabaceae. The record is from RNAcentral.
GAGAAAGGAUCAUUGCAUUACAUUCACUCCAUCGACAUGAGAGUGUACUCUAGGAAUUUAUACAAGUGUUACAAAAUGAUUGGACCUAAAACAUGUAACUACAUAAUAGAAAAUUACAAAGUCUUGGUCCUGUAACUGGUUAGACCAAAGGCAGAAAACCAAAGUCAUUACUCAUCAAAUAAAAAUAAACCAAAACUGAAAUAAUAAAAAUAUCGUCCAUAAUCCAAAAAGGAGGUUUGACUUCAACAUUAAUAUCUUCCACCAAA